CCUACAAGGCUGUCGACGGUCCUAAUACUGCAAGUCGACGAACUUCCGUUAAUUGAUUAUGACGUACUUGUACUGAUUGAGAUUUUAACACGAAGUGAGUGGCGAACGGGUGAGUAACACGUGGGUAACCUGCCCAGAAGUAGGGGAUAACACCUGGAAACAGAUGCUAAUACCGUAUAACAGAGAAAACCGCAUGGUUUUCUUUUAAAAGAUGGCUCUGCUAUCACUUCUGGAUGGACCCGCGGCGUAUUAGCUAGUUGGUGAGGUAAAGGCUCACCAAGGCAGUGAUACGUAGCCGACCUGAGAGGGUAAUCGGCCACAUUGGGACUGAGACACGGCCCAGACUCCUACGGGAGGCAGCAGUAGGGAAUCUUCCACAAUGGACGCAAGUCUGAUGGAGCAACGCCGCGUGAGUGAAGAAGGGUUUCGGCUCGUAAAGCUCUGUUGUUAAAGAAGAACGUGGGUAAGAGUAACUGUUUACCCAGUGACGGUAUUUAACCAGAAAGCCACGGCUAACUACGUGCCAGCAGCCGCGGUAAUACGUAGGUGGCAAGCGUUAUCCGGAUUUAUUGGGCGUAAAGCGAGCGCAGGCGGUCUUUUAAGUCUAAUGUGAAAGCCUUCGGCUCAACCGAAGAAGUGCAUUGGAAACUGGGAGACUUGAGUGCAGAAGAGGACAGUGGAACUCCAUGUGUAGCGGUGAAAUGCGUAGAUAUAUGGAAGAACACCAGUGGCGAAGGCGGCUGUCUGGUCUGCAACUGACGCUGAUGCUCGAAAGCAUGGGUAGCGAAACAGAUUAGAUACCCUGGUAGUCCAUGCCGUAAACGAUGAUUACUAAGUGUUGGAAGGAUUUCCCGCCAUUCAGUGCUGCAGCUAAACGCCAAUUAAGUAAUUCCCGCCUGGGGAGUACGACGCCAAGAUUUGUGAAAA
RNAcentral lists this ribosomal RNA (927 nucleotides) under Pediococcus pentosaceus. Its description in RNAcentral is "bacterial SSU rRNA". It matches the Rfam family "Bacterial small subunit ribosomal RNA", at positions 23 to 899 of the family's 1533-position model. The record is from RNAcentral. Lineage: Bacteria; Bacillati; Bacillota; Bacilli; Lactobacillales; Lactobacillaceae.